CUAUGUAGGGAAGGGAUAAACGCUGAAAGCAUCUAAGUGUGAAACCCACCUCAAGAUGAGAUUUCCCAUGAUUAUAUAUCAGUAAGAGCCCUGAGAGAUGAUCAGGUAGAUAGGUUAGAAGUGGAAGUGUGGCGACACAUGUAGCGGACUAAUACUAAUAGCUCGAGGACUUAUCCAAA
This 179-nucleotide ribosomal RNA is filed under the name Klebsiella pneumoniae. RNAcentral's name for it is "partial 23S ribosomal RNA". It matches the Rfam family "Bacterial large subunit ribosomal RNA", at positions 2749 to 2925 of the family's 2925-position model. The record is from RNAcentral. Lineage: Bacteria; Pseudomonadati; Pseudomonadota; Gammaproteobacteria; Enterobacterales; Enterobacteriaceae.